Molecule: long non-coding RNA, 3247 nt
Organism: Tympanuchus pallidicinctus (lesser prairie-chicken)
Lineage: Eukaryota; Metazoa; Chordata; Aves; Galliformes; Phasianidae
Exons: 3
Source: RefSeq, a predicted model, not a curated record
GCUGAACAUGGAACACAAACAUUUAUAAAUCUGCUUAAACAAAUGACGAAAACAAAUAAACAACACAAACCCAACCCGUUUUACUAGAAACCAUAAUGGUAACUUUGAUCUGUAGUCACAACCAUGAAAUGGCACAGGAUUCUCAAAUCCAUAGAGCAGUCGUCAUAGUCCAGAACUAAUUUAAAUAUUCUUACAGUUUCAGAAAGAACAGAAAUAUGCCAUGUGGGAAACAUGAAGACAAUUUUGUACCUUUGAACUCUUCAGGAAAGAGGUCUGUGUUGUAGCUAUUUCCAGGAGAAAAUAUGAUGUUCAGAGCAGCAAGUCAGAGAAGAAUUCAGCUUUUUCAAAGGCUUCCCUUUCAGAAGUAGGACUAAGUAUGAAAGAGCCUGAUGUACCUACAAGUGUGUGCAGACUAAGAACUGACAGAAGUUGCUGGAUCCAGUUGCAUUUCCUUGGUCUUACGAAUGCAUUACUGGAAGAGGAAGUAAGAACAGGGAGUCAGCACCAUGUGGCCAUUCUGCUGUCUUUGAAUGGUUGAUGUGUUCCAGAGAUCAUUCUGGUAAAUGUCUUGGGAUCAUUCUGCAAGGUCUUCAUAGAAGUUCAGUUCUGGUCACGAAGUUGUAUUUGGAUGCUGCAAUUUCAAUUUUCAAGAAGACUGGAACAUCUCAGUAAAAUCUCCUUCGGAUAUGUGACAUAUUGUUAAAAUAUGUUAACAUACUGUUAAAAAAUGUCAUAUGUCCUACCACAGUGCUAUUGUUUCACUCUCGUUGUUUGUAUGGACACAGAAAAAAAGCAAUGGAGAAUUAUGCAUUUGGUUUUGGUACCAGACUUCUGAUUGUUGCACUCCUGUCUAGUUAUUCUAUCUAGCUGGUAUAUCAGAUAUCAGACAUUAUGAUAUUAAACUCUGUGGUUUGUAUUUAAUAUCUAAAAUAAAAUUUGCAGUACAAUAUAUAUCAUUGCAAAGUGAAUGAAGCAAAUUUGGUGUGUGCUUAUAUCCAAGUUAUAUAUAUAAAUAAAUAUAUAUAUAUAUAAAUAGCUUCUUCCAACUCUUCCCCCUCCAUGCAGUAGCUUGAUUUGACUUGGUGGCCAGAAGCUUAUUAGCAUUAAGGAAUAUAGUAUUUUUGAGCCAGAGGAGGAGUGAGAAAUAUUGCUUUCUGCACAUCUGUCAAAGGGCAGAAAGAAUGAAAAAGGGAAGUAAAUGAUAGAAUGUGAAAAAUAAAUUUAAAAAACCCCAACAAAAUAAACAGUAAGACAAACAUAAACCCAACAAGUGCUACAUACUUUAUAUCCUGGCUGUGAGGUGACAGUACCAAGUCUGUACCAAUCAAGUUGCUGUGAUCUUACAAUAUUUGAGAGUUGGUCUUCCCACAGAUGGCUACCAGCAAAUUCCAGGAUUUAUGAGAUGGUGUGGAGUUACCUAGCCUUCUAUCAUAUCUACCAUGUCCAUGGGUGAAAAUCCUAGUUCUUCUCUGUGUGAUUGAAAGGUUCAGUUGGCCUUUUGUGUUUCCAUUUUGUGUGACAGUAGAGCAAUGAACAACUUUCUUGUUUUGCCAUGAAGAUGAGCGGCAAUGUGCUCAGGUGUGAGUAAGUGUUGUAGCCCAGAUGUUCACACAAACACCUACAAGGAAGCCAAGUUUGAUAACAAAGUGUAAGAGUGCAGUUUGGAGACCUCAAACUUUGCAGAAGAUAAUUCUAGUGUUCCAGAGGAUGAGCUAAGUGCAUGAAAUCAGUGUGUCUCAGUAAAGGAUGCCAACUGUGGAAAAAGUACAUCAGCCUAAAUGCAUGCAAGACACUCAGUCUUAGGAAAAAAGCUUAUUCUUAAACCUAAUUCUCUGUCAAUGAACCUUAGUUCAUGCGAACAGUAUCAUUUUAACAAAAACUUGGAUUUAUUGCCCUACGCUGUAAGAGCAAGGACAUGAAAAUCUGGUUGAAGGAAGUGAUUAUUCUCUUCUAUUUGGCAUGUGCGAGUUGCUCCUGGAAUACUGUUUAAUUCUGGCUCCCCAGUACAAGAAACACGUUGAUAUACAAGAAUGACUCUGGAGAAAAUAAUGUCAGGGAUACUAGAAUGUGUUGUAUGCAAGGAGCAGCUGAAAGUUGGGUUUGUUUAGCCUGAGGAUAAAACCAUGGGAGGAUCUUACUGCUGUCUGAAAUUAUCUGAUGCUUAGUUUAUCUGAUGCUUAUCUUAAUAAGACAAAACUCAACUCUUCUAGUAGGUGCACAGUGAUAGGACAAGAAGCAUCAUAUCCAUGAUAAAGCAGGUUAAAUCCAAAUUAACAUAAGGAAAAAGUUUCAUGUUGAGGAUGGUUAGACAAAAGAGCUGAUUAUUUGUGCAGUCUUCAUCUUUGAAGAUACUCAGAAUUCAAGUAGAGAACCUCACCUGGUUGUUCCUGUUUUAAACCUUGUGUUCUCCAGAGUAGUUCCAGUGUGUAUUGCUCUUGGAAUCAAAUUUCAUGAUCUGCUAGGAAUGGUAUAAAAAGAAAAAGGGGAAGAAAAAGCACCUCCAGAAAGCCCAGUUGCUGUUUUGCAAGUGGUUAGCCUUAAGGGGUGUAUGACAUAGUUACCUGAUUAUGGAUGCUCAUUCCUCCUUCAGUUAAAUGUACCUUUUAUUUGUCAGAUGAAGCUAAAAUGAAAAAAUGUUCAGGGUGGUCCCAGCCAACAGCUUCAUUUCUCUCCACAUAGCUCUGAGACAUAAAAUUACUUUUCAGUGUUAUAUUUAUUCAGGGAGACUAUUUAUGUUGGAGAAUUCCCUCAGACUUUCUCAGCUUCCACUAGAAAAUAAAUGUGUUCAUUUGUUGUUGUGACACUACCUUUGAGAUGGCAAACAUAUUUUUUUAAUUUAUGUACACGUUUUAUAUAUGUAUAUAUAAACAAUAUCUAUGAAUUAAUUAAAACAGUACCUUUUUACUGUCUACUUUUAUAACACCUGGGUUGCAUGAGCAUUUAUUUCACAUGUAAAGUAUGAUCAUUGUAUUUCAUGUAUGUAGUCUUUAGCGUGAAGUGUUCUGGCACAAACAAAACAUGAUUUUCAUGCUAGUGUGGCAUUCAGACAGGAAGUUGUAUCCUUCCCUGCAAUAACAGAGAAAACAAACAGAUUGUUUAUACACCUGAGACUGAAAUACUUUUAAAGCUCUUUGCCCUUGCUUCUGAGCUGUCGGAGUCUAUAUUGUUUUGAUUCAUUUGCACAUUAUGAAGUAAUCUUGUGUGGAUAGGUAACUGAGAAUUUGUUGUUUCCCAGAAUUUCAGUCUC